This 558-nucleotide ribosomal RNA is filed under the name uncultured bacterium. Its description in RNAcentral is "bacterial SSU rRNA". It matches the Rfam family "Bacterial small subunit ribosomal RNA", at positions 959 to 1533 of the family's 1533-position model. The record is from RNAcentral.
ACGCGAGAUACACGCGCGCAGAGAGACGCAUCAUAUAGCUCAUAGAACACACGCUCUCUGGAACCUGCACAGGUGCUCCAUGGCUGUCGUCAGCUCGUCCCGUGAGCUGUCGGGUUAAGUCCCUUAACGAGCGAAACCCCUGCGGCCAGUUGCCAACACACCCUGGUGGGGACUCUGGCAGGACCGCCGGCGUGAAGCCGGAGGAAGGUGGGGAUGACGUCAAGUCCUCAUGGCCCUUAUGCCCAGGGCUGCACACGUGCUACAAUGGCGGGGACAAACCGUCGCCACGCCGUAAGGCCGAGCCAACCGCGUAAACCCCGCCCCAGUUCGGAUCGAGGGCUGCAACCCGCCCUCGUGAAGCCGGAAUCGCUAGUAAUCGCGGAUCAGCAUUGCCACGGUGAAUGUGUUCCUGAGCCUUGUACACACCGCCCGUCAAGCCACCAAAAGGGGGGGGCACCCGAAGUCGCCGACGUCUCAUGACGGGCGCCGAAGGUGAAACUCCUGAUGGGAACUAAGUCGUAACAAGGUAACCCGGGCGGCCGCUCCGAGCCCAGGGCG